Astatotilapia calliptera (eastern happy) is the source of this 930-nucleotide long non-coding RNA. Lineage: Eukaryota; Metazoa; Chordata; Actinopteri; Cichliformes; Cichlidae. The record is from Ensembl.
GUUUAUUGUUAAAAUACGAAUAUUUAGUUGUAUUUUGGGUGCGUGUCGAAAAGAAUAGCAGAAAUGUCGGUCCGUGUUUUUUAUGUGCUUUGCUGCUCUCCCCGAAGGAAACUUUGCGCUUGCAGAGCUAGCAUUAAGUUGUUGUAAUGAGGGUCGCAGGCUGUUUAAAAAGUUAGAUACUACUUGCUCUAGAGGUGGCGCCCGGUCGCCUAGUAUGAAACAAAGUAUUUUAAUCUCUCUAAAUUUUUAAACCCCCUCUCAUGACUCAGAAUAGUUGGGUCCAAACAAGCCCGUUGUCCCUGCAGUUACACAACGGAGAUGCCUGUCUGCAGUGAGAGUCCUUUCAAGCAGUUUUCUUGUUAGAAACGCUAUAUUUUAAACUAUAUGUGCAGGGUUAGGGUUGUGAAGGAGCUCUUGGACCUCUGGCCUGCUCUAAAAAUGGAGUCUGAGUUGUAUGCAGAGUUUCAGCGGAUUACAAAUCAGAACCUGCCCAAUACAUUCUACGCUGAACUUGACCGCCAUCUUCCUCGACUGAUGACCUUAUUCAGCCAGGGCAUCAAAAACUGGGAAGACAGCAGAUGCCCUGGUUGAAAUUCUAAGAAUUCACAAUGAACAGGAAAUCCAUGAUAUCCACACCAAGUGCACUACCGUUCUCCCUGCCCUUCCUGUCUAUCUGCAUGAGGAUGUCUCUGGAUUUUUCAGAACCUGCACUGACGAAUCUGAUGAGUUGGAGCUUGAUGGUGUUGAAGUGGCCUCUUCACUGUCAUCAGUGACCAUCACACAAUAAGUCCAGUUCACUACCAACCUGUGAAAAUCUCUGUCGUCAUUGAAAGUGAUGCCGUGUUCAGUCUCCCCAGAUUUGGUGAAGCCUUCCUAGUAAUGUUUGGACUGAUCUAUGCACUUCACCACAGCUACCCCAAAGCCCUGACC